AGCAAUCCUCCUACCUCAGCCACCCAAGUAGCUGGGAUUACAGGUUGACAAUCAUCACUUCCUGUUGCUGUUCAUGUGCCAGUCUGCAAGGCCACUCUAGAGUUCUAAAAUGCAUAGAAAUUGGAAACCAGCUGUGUUCCUGAGCAGCUGCACGUUGCUGAGCCUGGAGAAGUGAGAGGUUGGAAAUAGACUCCAAGGCAGAGUUAAUCAUUCUUGGAGCCUGAACCGAACAUGAAGCCUCCUGGUGCCUCUGAUCACAUUUAUUCAGAGCUACUAGAGAAGAGACGUCCUUAUGGGCCCUGCUCUUACAGAUCGGUGUUCCGGGGUGAGCAGGUCUAUGCAAACCUACCCCCAAAGUCCAAGGAAGCUGAGAGGUCAAAGAAAGAGGCUGUCAAAUCCAGUUCUUCAGAAAGAAAUAUUUAAUAGGGAUUAUGAACAGAAGCCACGUCUUGGGCAGCUGCGAGAUGAGAUGGUGGAUCCCCACACUGUUACCCCCCAGACCCGGGGCUCACAUAUGCCACAGGGAAGGAGUGUGUAGGACAAUUGUCGUCAACUCCUCAGGGAAAGGCAAGAAUGUGUCUAUGGGCAGGAUUUAGGCACGAAAAUGAAGUUUAUUGAGGAGAGAAACAUAGGAUUACAGAGCAAGAGCAAGAUACAGGUUUACAGAGUGAGAGCAAGAUACAUUCACCACAGACAACGAAAGGACCCCUCGUGAUGACAAAAUGGCCAAAGAUGUAAUUUUCCACCAUAGUCUCGAACCUUGAGAAGACAUCUGAGCCACCGCAGCCUGGCCUUCCUGGGGCAUGUCUACCGUGGAGCAGAGAGUUCUCGAAAGGGAGCCUCAUAGAAAGGACAUGAGAUGAAAAGCCGCGAUCCAUGGAAGAGUUGAAAAAAGUCUGAAAGUGACUCCUUUCCCCUUCCACCAUAUGAGGACACAGUGACAAGGGAUCCUCUAUGAACCAGAGUGAGUCCUCAACCAGACAGAACCUGCCAUCCUCUUCAUUUUGGACUUCCCAGCCUCCAGAACAGGUUUUGGCCACAGCACAGCCAACAGGAGUCUACUGACGAGACGCUCAGCGCUCUGGCAUGCUGGCAGCGUGUCAUCCUGACUCAACAGACCUUUGCAGUGACUAGAAAAGAUGCAGCGGGCCUAAACAUUUUCAGAAUUAUUUUUAAAUUAAAUUCCUCCUGUUUUUCUUUCUUCGCUAGAAGUGAAAUUCAAAAACUCCAAAUACCAUAAUGAUACAUUUUUAAAAAAGGAUUAAAAAGCCAUCUUAGUCCCAGCCUGCUGUCAGGAGGCAAAAGAGGGGUGGUGUGGGUCCUGGAUGGGAAGCCUCUGUCCCCAACACGGGCUGAAACCCUGAAGCCUUCUAGCAAGGGGCGGCAGAGGCUGGCCAUGCACUGAGCAAGCUGGUCAUCUCGGCCAACCACAGUCUGCCCACCGCACGGUCCCCGUGGGAGAACAGACAGCGCAAUCCGUCUGCAAGACCGAACAGGUUUCUCUAAGUGUCCUGCUCCAGGCUGAGGGAGGCUGAUUCCAAGGACUUGGGGCGCUGGCAUUUACACAGGCAGAAGCUGGGCUUCCUAAGGCUCAAGUUUCUCAGACUGAUCUGACUUGUUCACGUUCAGGUUCAGGAUGCAAACUGAGAGCUCUUGAGAAGCUAUGCUUAUGUUUUUAGGCCUUCGGCAGUUUUACACACACGUGCACACACACACACACAGAGUCCAAACUUUCUUUCUUCAAAGAGAACCUUGUAUUUAUAUGUUAUUUUAACAAGUCUUCUUGGUCUUUCUGCCAUGCAUUUCUAUUUAGCUGUUCCGGAGGUCAAAAAAAGCCAACCACGUGAUAUUCUGCAGUUAGCGCACACUCUUAACCCAAGGGCUACAGCCCGCCUGAAAUUGCAUGCCAAAUUGUGUGCACGUGCAUUUUCCUCCCUAGAGUCAAGAGGACAUAGCUUCCAUAAAAGGGUCAAAGAUGACCUUGGGUGUUUAAAAACCUCAGCCAAUUGUUCAAAUUUAAAUGUCACGACAAUGAUUAAUUUCUGUUACCUGCAGUAGAUAUUCCAGAAGGACUGUAGCCAAAGUUUCUCACCAAUCCCUCUCUGCCCAACACAUUGCAUCACAGCACACACACAUAUACCCCAAACCAGACUACUUAAGCCACAUUUUUGUUUUCUGAGAAAACAAAACCCUUUUUAAUAUAGAAAAGUGUUCUGAUACUCCAACCAUCAUCCUAAAUUCAGUUGUUAAUAUUUGUCCUUCGAGGCUUUAAACCUUUUCUUCCCUUUUUUUUAAUUGAAAGAAAGGAAGCAUUAUAGAUAAAAUGUAAGUCCUCUUGGUUCCCAGUUGAAUUCCCCUGUCCAAAAGUAACUAUGAUGAUGAAUUUAGCAUGCAUCGCUUCAGCUCAUUGUUUAAAGCUUGUGUGUGUAUAUAGCUCCAAACAAUAUGUAGUAUUGCUUUUAUAUCUGUAAAUGAUAUCGUACUGAAUGUAUUAUUCCACAACUUGUUUUCUUCAUUUGAAAUUGUACUUUUGAAAUUUGUCUGUAUUGACAUAUGAAAAUCA
Microcebus murinus (gray mouse lemur) is the source of this 2563-nucleotide non-coding RNA. The record is from RefSeq and is a predicted model, not a curated record. Lineage: Eukaryota; Metazoa; Chordata; Mammalia; Primates; Cheirogaleidae.